UACGUAGGGAGCAAGCGUUGUCCGGAAUCAUUGGGCGUAAAGCGCGCGUAGGUGGCCUCAUAAGUCCGCUGUGAAAGUCAAAGGCUCAACCUUUGAAAGCCGGUGGAUACUGUGAGGCUAGAGUACGGAAGAGGCGAGUGGAAUUCCUGGUGUAGCGGUGGAAUGCGCAGAUAUCAGGAGGAACACCAAUAGCGAAGGCAGCUCGCUGGGACGUUACUGACACUGAGGCGUGAAAGCGUGGGGAGCGAACAGG
RNAcentral lists this ribosomal RNA (253 nucleotides) under uncultured bacterium. Its description in RNAcentral is "partial 16S ribosomal RNA". It matches the Rfam family "Bacterial small subunit ribosomal RNA", at positions 524 to 776 of the family's 1533-position model. The record is from RNAcentral.